Molecule: long non-coding RNA, 1549 nt
Organism: Mustela erminea (ermine)
Lineage: Eukaryota; Metazoa; Chordata; Mammalia; Carnivora; Mustelidae
Exons: 3
Source: RefSeq, a predicted model, not a curated record
UCAUCACCGUCAUCACCACCAUCACCAUCACCAUCACCAUCACCAUCAUCACCAUCACCACCGUCACCAUCAUAUUGUCAAUAUCUCCACUACCUUGGGUUGUUUUUGCACUCAUUCAUUCAGCACUUAUUCCUUUCACACACUGGCCUUCCCCCUUAAUUCAGCAUUAAUUAACUGCUUCCUAUAGGUAUGCAUCACUUUGCUGGGCUGUGGAGAGACAGAAAUAAAUAGCCCAUAAUCCCUGUUCUUAGGUCUCAUAGACUGUAAGGGAUAUAAGGGACACAGAAAAAUAAACUUAGCCUUACUGUAAAAAUGCACUUUCCUAUAUAAGUCAGACUCUAGAAACCAGGGUAGCGAGCUCUGAAAGAGAGCUCCAGUGUUUAGACAAGGAGUGGUACUCCCUGGCUGAGGGAACAAAACCCAGCAAGCUGAGAAACACCCCUCCUCACCCCCACCCUCCAGCAUGGAUCUCGAUGCCCCGGCAGAACACUCGUGGGGGCUGAGGUCUCAUCACCAGGAAGGCGCCCACACUGAGAUCGGGGCUGGCCUAGGUGUGUUCCUCAGGAGGUGGGUUUGGGAAGGUGCUGCUCAUCACAGGGACUGGCCACCAGGUCCCAGGAAGCUUACGGAAUUUCUAAGAAUGUACCUAAUGACACAUUCCCCCGGGAGCUAAUGGAAUGCUCUUCGUCUAGCCACAUCGGCAUGAAAUACCAGCCUCCCGACCACACUCGGCCUCCCUGCAGGGAAGGGGGGGUCUGGGAGUUCGUUCAUCAGACCGUCGCAGAGACAGAUUGGAAACGGAUCGGCAGAUCCGUCUCCAGGGUCACGAGGUCACGUGCAGAGCUCGUGUUAGUCAAGUGAACUUUUUCAGAAGAGUGUCUCCUUUUUGGAGCGGUCAACAAGGCUCCACCGUCCGUAGAAACCACGGCGCACCCCGAGCUCGGCUGUCCCUCUUCACCCGCAGGGUCACUGCACGCGGAAAGCCAUGGCGGCACCUUCACAGCGGACAAAGAACAGUCUCAAAAUGCCGUAAUGGGCCCAAGUAAUGCUCUUGACAUGACAGGUGCCAGGAGCUCGUCUCUCUAGACAGUAUAAUCUAACACAGUAUUUGGGACACUGGAGGUCAAGCAGAAUGACACGGUUCCCGGAGCCUCGCACCACGGAUGUCAUCCGUGUCGUCAGCCCCAGAACGCAGGAAGCAGAGCGGCUCGAUCUCUUCCGCGCUGGCUCCCGCCGUCCCUCUCCUGCCCUCUGCGUUCACCCAGACGCUGCUCAGAGCUGCCCCGACGGAGGAGCCAAGGGGGCAUGGCUUCGGGAGAUGCCCCCGCCUCGCAGAAAGCACUGCAGUGUCCACCCUGAGCGAGGCGCGCUGGCUCUGUGGGACGUGGGUGACCCCAUGACGAGUGAAGAAGGGGAAUCAGUACAUAGUUCAAGACGUUGAGCUACAACGGGUACCGGGGCGGUCUGCCUCCCACUGCCAUCCCCAGCCACCCACAUUCCUUCCCUGGAUGCGACCCACGGAGCCGGCUUCUCCUGCGUCUUUCAAGAG